This is a long non-coding RNA of Portunus trituberculatus (swimming crab), 320 nucleotides long. RefSeq lists it as uncharacterized. NCBI's taxonomy places the organism in Eukaryota, Metazoa, Arthropoda, Malacostraca, Decapoda, Portunidae. The record is from RefSeq and is a predicted model, not a curated record. The transcript has 3 exons.
AUGAAAUCUGUUACUAUUUACAAAGAUGUUUUCCUGAUGAUAAAAAAAAAGUUUCCUAAAAUUAUUCUGAAGAUAAUAAUAAUAGAAAUAAUAACUUUGGGCAUUGGUAAAAGUAAAAUAAUAAAAAAAAAAAAUUAUGAUCCCGUUGCAAAGACUGAAUCUCCACGCGCCCCUACAGGACAAUGCACGAGCAACGCCUAGGCAAUGCUCUGUGUCAAUAUGAUCCAGAUUAGGAGCCAAUUUGGGAGACUUUCGGUUUUAAGCUUCAUCGUUAACUGUGAAAGAGAAGGAUGGUUACUACUACUACUACUACUACUACU